GCCUCGGUGGCUCAGCUGGUAGAGCGUCAGCCUCGUAAGCUGGUGGUCGCGGGUUCAAAUCCCGCCCGAGGCU
This 73-nucleotide transfer RNA is filed under the name Candidatus Bathyarchaeota archaeon. RNAcentral's name for it is "tRNA-Thr". It matches the Rfam family "tRNA". From Rfam's summary of the family: Transfer RNA (tRNA) molecules are approximately 80 nucleotides in length. Their secondary structure includes four short double-helical elements and three loops (D, anti-codon, and T loops). The record is from RNAcentral. Lineage: Archaea; Thermoproteati; Candidatus Bathyarchaeota.